GGGGCUGUAGCUCAGAGGUAGAGCACUUGCCUAGCAUGUGUGAGGCACUGGGUUCAAUCCUCAGCACCA
Molecule: transfer RNA, 69 nt
Filed under: Urocitellus parryii (Arctic ground squirrel)
Lineage: Eukaryota; Metazoa; Chordata; Mammalia; Rodentia; Sciuridae
Also listed under: 4 other names
Description: Spermophilus parryii (Arctic ground squirrel) tRNA
Rfam family: tRNA
About the family: Transfer RNA (tRNA) molecules are approximately 80 nucleotides in length. Their secondary structure includes four short double-helical elements and three loops (D, anti-codon, and T loops). Further hydrogen bonds mediate the characteristic L-shaped molecular structure. tRNAs have two regions of fundamental functional importance: the anti-codon, which is responsible for specific mRNA codon recognition, and the 3' end, to which the tRNAs corresponding amino acid is attached (by aminoacyl-tRNA synthetases). tRNAs cope with the degeneracy of the genetic code in two manners: having more than one tRNA (with a specific anti-codon) for a particular amino acid; and 'wobble' base-pairing, i.e. permitting non-standard base-pairing at the 3rd anti-codon position.
Source: Rfam by way of RNAcentral